This 444-nucleotide ribosomal RNA is filed under the name uncultured bacterium. Its description in RNAcentral is "partial 16S ribosomal RNA". It matches the Rfam family "Bacterial small subunit ribosomal RNA", at positions 355 to 792 of the family's 1533-position model. The record is from RNAcentral.
UGGGGAAUAUUGCACAAUGGGCGCAAGCCUGAUGCAGCCAUGCCGCGUGUGUGAAGAAGGCCUUCGGGUUGUAAAGCACUUUCAGCGAGGAGGAAGGGUUCAGUGUUAAUAGCACUGUUCAUUGACGUUACUCGCAGAAGAAGCACCGGCUAACUCCGUGCCAGCAGCCGCGGUAAUACGGAGGGUGCAAGCGUUAAUCGGAAUUACUGGGCGUAAAGCGCACGCAGGCGGUUUGUUAAGUCAGAUGUGAAAUCCCCGCGCUUAACGUGGAACUGCAUUGAAACUGGCAAGCUAGAGUCUUGUAGAGGGGGGUAGAAUUCCAGGUGUAGCGGUGAAAUGCGUAGAGAUCUGGAGGAAUACCGGUGGCGAAGGCGGCCCCCUGGACAAAGACUGACGCUCAGGUGCGAAAGCGUGGGGAGCAAAACAGGAUUAGAUACCCUGGUA